GGGCCCAUAGCUCAGCUGGUUAGAGCAGUCGACUCAUAAUCGAUUGGUCGUAGGUUCAAGUCCUACUGGGCCCA
SAR92 bacterium BACL26 MAG-121220-bin70 is the source of this 74-nucleotide non-coding RNA. NCBI's taxonomy places the organism in Bacteria, Pseudomonadati, Pseudomonadota, Gammaproteobacteria, Cellvibrionales, Porticoccaceae. The record is from Rfam.